GGGAAGGGGGGGCAGGCCUAACACAUGCAAGUCGAGCGGAUGACGGGAGCUUGCUCCUUGAUUCAGCGGCGGACGGGUGAGUAAUGCCUAGGAAUCUGCCUGGUAGUGGGGGACAACGUUUCGAAAGGAACGCUAAUACCGCAUACGUCCUACGGGAGAAAGCAGGGGACCUUCGGGCCUUGCGCUAUCAGAUGAGCCUAGGUCGGAUUAGCUAGUUGGUGAGGUAAUGGCUCACCAAGGCGACGAUCCGUAACUGGUCUGAGAGGAUGAUCAGUCACACUGGAACUGAGACACGGUCCAGACUCCUACGGGAGGCAGCAGUGGGGAAUAUUGGACAAUGGGCGAAAGCCUGAUCCAGCCAUGCCGCGUGUGUGAAGAAGGUCUUCGGAUUGUAAAGCACUUUAAGUUGGGAGGAAGGGCAUUAACCUAAUACGUUAGUGUUUUGACGUUACCGACAGAAUAAGCACCGGCUAACUCUGUGCCAGCAGCCGCGGUAAUACAGAGGGUGCAAGCGUUAAUCGGAAUUACUGGGCGUAAAGCGCGCGUAGGUGGUUUGUUAAGUUGGAUGUGAAAGCCCCGGGCUCAACCUGGGAACUGCAUCCAAAACUGGCAAGCUAGAGUACGGUAGAGGGUGGUGGAAUUUCCUGUGUAGCGGUGAAAUGCGUAGAUAUAGGAAGGAACACCAGUGGCGAAGGCGACCACCUGGACUGAUACUGACACU
Molecule: ribosomal RNA, 721 nt
Filed under: Pseudomonas sp. EP_S_61
Lineage: Bacteria; Pseudomonadati; Pseudomonadota; Gammaproteobacteria; Pseudomonadales; Pseudomonadaceae
Description: bacterial SSU rRNA
Rfam family: Bacterial small subunit ribosomal RNA
Source: RNAcentral